This 497-nucleotide ribosomal RNA is filed under the name uncultured bacterium. Its description in RNAcentral is "partial 16S ribosomal RNA". It matches the Rfam family "Bacterial small subunit ribosomal RNA", at positions 28 to 507 of the family's 1533-position model. The record is from RNAcentral.
GAUGAACGCUGGCGGCGUGCCUAAUACAUGCAAGUCGAGCGAACAGACGAGGAGCUUGCUCCUCUGACGUUAGCGGCGGACGGGUGAGUAACACGUGGAUAACCUACCUAUAAGACUGGGAUAACUUCGGGAAACCGGCGCUAAUACCGGAUAAUAUAUUUAACCGCAUGGUUCAAUAGUGAAAGACGGUUUUGCUGUCACUUAUAUAUGGAUCCGCGCCGCAUUAGCUAGUUGGUAAGGUAACGGCUUACCAAGGCAACGAUGCGUAGCCGACCUGAGAGGGUGAUCGGCCACACUGGAACUGAGACACGGUCCAGACUCCUACGGGAGGCAGCAGUAGGGAAUCUUCCGCAAUGGGCGAAAGCCUGACGGAGCAACGCCGCGUGAGUGAUGAAGGUCUUCGGAUCGUAAAACUCUGUUAUUAGGGAAGAACAAAUGUGUAAGUAACUAUGCACGUCUUGACGGUACCUAAUCAGAAAGCCACGGCUAACUACGUG